UGGUUCUGUAAAAUUGGUGCAAAAGUAAUUGCGGUUUUUGUCUUUACUUUCAAAUGUAAAAAUCACAAUUACUUUUGAAGCAAACUAAUAGUU
Molecule: microRNA precursor, 93 nt
Organism: Chlorocebus sabaeus (green monkey)
Lineage: Eukaryota; Metazoa; Chordata; Mammalia; Primates; Cercopithecidae
Source: Ensembl